This 510-nucleotide ribosomal RNA is filed under the name uncultured bacterium. Its description in RNAcentral is "bacterial SSU rRNA". It matches the Rfam family "Bacterial small subunit ribosomal RNA", at positions 774 to 1281 of the family's 1533-position model. The record is from RNAcentral.
AGAUAAUAGAUACCCUGGUAGUCCACGCCGUAAACGAUGAGUGCUAAGUGUUAGAGGGUUUCCGCCCUUUAGUGCUGCAGCUAACGCAUUAGGCACUCCGCCUGGGGAGUACGGUCGCAAGACUGAAACUCAAAGGAAUUGACGGGGGCCCGCACAAGCGGUGGAGCAUGUGGUUUAAUUCGAAGCAACGCGAAGAACCUUACCAGGUCUUGACAUCCUCUGACAACUCUAGAGAUAGAGCGUUCCCCUUCGGGGGACAGAGUGACAGGUGGUGCAUGGUUGUCGUCAGCUCGUGUCGUGAGAUGUUGGGUUAAGUCCCGCAACGAGCGCAGCCCUUGAUCUUAGUUGCCAGCAUUUAGUUGGGCACUCUAAGGUGACUGCCGGUGACAAACCGGAGGAAGGUGGGGAUGACGUCAAAUCAUCAUGCCCCUUAUGACCUGGGCUACACACGUGCUACAAUGGAUGGUACAAAGGGCUGCAAGACCGCGAGGUCAAGCCAAUCCCAUAAAA